ACGGACAGACAGCGACCUAAACGACACGGGGAACUUCCAGACGGGACAACGAACACAAGGACACCAGAGAUAGGUGGAGAGGGACAGGAUGAAGCGGAUCCCAAGCGGCAGAAGGCAGAAAAUGGGGCGUGGGCCUGAGCCCUGACAGUGGAGUGGCGACCAAGAAGAUUUUCUGCCUUAGAGCAUGGGGUUCACCUUCCUCAGGCUCAGAGCAACCUAGAGGAGCUGAAGCAAGAAUCAGAGCUGGACCCAGAACUAGAGGAGCCGGAGCCAGAGCAGCUCUGAGCCAGAGCCAAGGCGGCCGCAGAUAGCAGCAGCUCAGUCCAAAUAAACUCCCUGUCAGCAAG
Long non-coding RNA from Galeopterus variegatus (Sunda flying lemur), 347 nucleotides. RefSeq lists it as uncharacterized. The transcript is spliced from 3 exons. The record is from RefSeq and is a predicted model, not a curated record. NCBI's taxonomy places the organism in Eukaryota, Metazoa, Chordata, Mammalia, Dermoptera, Cynocephalidae.